UACAGAGGGGCGAGCGUUGUUCGGAAUUACUGGGCGUAAAGGGCGCGUAGGCGGCCUGCUAUGUCGAACGUGAAAUCCCCGGGCUCAACCCGGGAACUGCGUCCGAAACUGGCAGGCUUGAAUCCGGGAGAGGGAUGUGGAAUUCCAGGUGUAGCGGUGAAAUGCGCAGAUAUCAGGAGGAACACCAGCGGCGAAGGCGGCGCUCUGGGCCGGAACUGACGCUGAGGAGCGAAAGCGUGGGUAGCAAACAGG
RNAcentral lists this ribosomal RNA (252 nucleotides) under uncultured bacterium. RNAcentral's name for it is "partial 16S ribosomal RNA". It matches the Rfam family "Bacterial small subunit ribosomal RNA", at positions 524 to 776 of the family's 1533-position model. The record is from RNAcentral.